AGCGAACGCUGGCGGCAGGCUUAACACAUGCAAGUCGAGCGGACCUUUCGGGGUCAGCGGCGGACGGGUGAGUAACGCGUGGGAACGUGCCUUCCGGUUCGGAAUAACCCUGGGAAACUAGGGCUAAUACCGGAUACGCCCUUAUGGGGAAAGGUUUACUGCCGGAAGAUCGGCCCGCGUCUGAUUAGCUAGUUGGUGGGGUAACGGCCUACCAAGGCGACGAUCAGUAGCUGGUCUGAGAGGAUGAUCAGCCACACUGGGACUGAGACACGGCCCAGACUCCUACGGGAGGCAGCAGUGGGGAAUAUUGGACAAUGGGCGCAAGCCUGAUCCAGCCAUGCCGCGUGAGUGAUGAAGGCCUUAGGGUUGUAAAGCUCUUUUAUCCGGGACGAUAAUGACGGUACCGGAGGAAUAAGCCUCGGCUAACUUCGUG
Molecule: ribosomal RNA, 433 nt
Filed under: uncultured bacterium
Lineage: Bacteria
Description: partial 16S ribosomal RNA
Rfam family: Bacterial small subunit ribosomal RNA
Source: RNAcentral